GACGAACGCUGGCGGCGUGCUUAACACAUGCAAGUCGAACGAUGAAGCCUAGCUUGCUAGGUGGAUUAGUGGCGAACGGGUGAGUAAUACGUGAGUAACCUACCUUUAACUCUGGGAUAAGCCUGGGAAACUGGGUCUAAUACCGGAUACGACCAAUCUCCGCAUGGGGUGUUGGUGGAAAGCGUUAUGUAGUGGUUAUAGAUGGGCUCACGGCCUAUCAGCUUGUUGGUGAGGUAACGGCUCACCAAGGCGACGACGGGUAGCCGGCCUGAGAGGGUGACCGGCCACACUGGGACUGAGACACGGCCCAGACUCCUACGGGAGGCAGCAGUGGGGAAUAUUGCACAAUGGGCGCAAGCCUGAUGCAGCGACGCCGCGUGAGGGAUGACGGCCUUCGGGUUGUAAACCUCUGUUAGCAGGGAAGAAGAGAAAUUGACGGUACCUGCAGAGAAAGCGCCGGCUAACUACGUGCCAGCAGCCGCGGUAAUACGUAGGGCGCGAGCGUUGUCCGGAAUUAUCGGGCGUAAAGAGCUUGUAGGCGGUUUGUCGCGUCUGCUGUGAAGGCCGGGGCUUAACCCCGUGUAUUGCAGUGGGUACGGGCAGACUAGAGUGCAGUAGGGGAGACUGGAAUUCCUGGUGUAGCGGUGGAAUGCGCAGAUAUCAGGAGGAACACCGAUGGCGAAGGCAGGUCUCUGGGCUGUAACUGACGCUGAGAAGCGAAAGCAUGGGGAGCGAACAGGAUUAGAUACCCUGGUAGUCCAUGCCGUAAACGUUGGGCACUAGGUGUGGGGGACAUUCCACGUUUUCCGCGCCGUAGCUAACGCAUUAAGUGCCCCGCCUGGGGAGUACGGCCGCAAGGCUAAAACUCAAAGAAAUUGACGGGGGCCCGCACAAGCGGCGGAGCAUGCGGAUUAAUUCGAUGCAACGCGAAGAACCUUACCAAGGCUUGACAUAUACUGGACCGCAUCAGAGAUGGUGUUUCCCUUCGGGGCUGGUAUACAGGUGGUGCAUGGUUGUCGUCAGCUCGUGUCGUGAGAUGUUGGGUUAAGUCCCGCAACGAGCGCAACCCUCGUUCUAUGUUGCCAGCACGUUAUGGUGGGGACUCAUAGGAGACUGCCGGGGACAACUCGGAGGAAGGUGGGGAUGACGUCAAAUCAUCAUGCCCCUUAUGUCUUGGGCUUCACGCAUGCUACAAUGGCCGGUACAGAGGGUUGCGAUACUGUGAGGUGGAGCUAAUCCCUAAAAGCCGGUCUCAGUUCGGAUUGGGGUCUGCAACUCGACCCCAUGAGGUCGGAGUCGCUAGUAAUCGCAGAUCAGCAACGCUGCGGUGAAUACGUUCCCGGGCCU
RNAcentral lists this ribosomal RNA (1347 nucleotides) under uncultured bacterium. RNAcentral describes it as "bacterial SSU rRNA". It matches the Rfam family "Bacterial small subunit ribosomal RNA", at positions 28 to 1381 of the family's 1533-position model. The record is from RNAcentral.